RNAcentral lists this unclassified non-coding RNA (200 nucleotides) under Mycopappus sp. RNAcentral describes it as "partial internal transcribed spacer 2". Lineage: Eukaryota; Fungi; Ascomycota; Leotiomycetes; Helotiales; Sclerotiniaceae. The record is from RNAcentral.
UUAAGUUCAGCGGGUAUCCCUACCUGAUCCGAGGUCAAUCUUGAGAAGAUUUGGGGUUAGAGCGGGCGCGCGUGGAGCACCUGUAACGAGAGGUUUACUACGUUCAGGGCCCCGCGGCGCCGCCGCUGAUUUUGGAGCCGGCCAUCGCUGACCUGGGCUCAACACCAAGCGGAGCUUGAGGGGUGAGAUGACGCUCGAAC